AGGAGCCGCGGUAAUUCCAGCUCCAAUAGCGUAUAUUAAAGUUGUUGCAGUUAAAAAGCUCGUAGUUGAAUUUCGGGGUUAGUAGGUUGGUCAUGCCUCUGGUAUGUACUGGUCUCACUGAUUCCUCCUUCCUGAUGAGCCGUAAUGCCAUUAAUUUGGUGUUGCGGGGAAUUUGGACUGUUACUUUGAAAAAAUUAGAGUGUUUAAAGCAAGCUAACGCUUGAAUACAUUAGCAUGGAAUAAUGAAAUAGGACGUUCGAUCCUAUUUUGUUGGUUUCUAGGAUUGACGUAAUGAUUAAUAGGGAUAGUUGGGGGCAUUAGUAUUCAAUUGUCAGAGGUGAAAUUCUUGGAUUUAUUGAAGACUAACUACUGCGAAAGCAUUUGCCAAGGAUGUUUUCAUUAAUCAAGAACGAAAGUUAGGGGAUCGAAGACGAUCAGAUACCGUCGUAGUCUUAACCAUAAACUAUGCCGACUAGGGAUCGGAUGAUGUUAAUUUUUUAAUGACUCA
Molecule: ribosomal RNA, 508 nt
Filed under: uncultured Glomus
Lineage: Eukaryota; Fungi; Glomeromycota; Glomeromycetes; Glomerales; Glomeraceae
Description: SSU rRNA
Rfam family: Eukaryotic small subunit ribosomal RNA
Source: RNAcentral